RNAcentral lists this ribosomal RNA (452 nucleotides) under uncultured bacterium. RNAcentral's name for it is "bacterial SSU rRNA". It matches the Rfam family "Bacterial small subunit ribosomal RNA", at positions 354 to 796 of the family's 1533-position model. The record is from RNAcentral.
GUGGGGAAUAUUGGUCAAUGGGCGAAAGCCUGAACCAGCGACGCCGCGUGGGUGAUGAAGGUCUUCGGAUCGUAAAGCCCUGUCGGAGAGGGAAGAACAACCUGGAGGAUAAUACCCUUCAGGCCUGACGGUACUUCUCCAGAAAGCACCGGCCAACUCCGUGCCAGCAGCCGCGGUAACACGGAGGGUGCGAACGUUGUUCGGAAUCACUGGGCGUAAAGCGCGUGUAGGCGGCAGAGCAUGUCAGAUGUGAAAUCCCUCGGCUUAACUGAGGAAGUGCAUUUGAAACUGCUCCGCUAGAGUACGGGAGAGGGUUGUAGAAUUCCCGGUGUAGAGGUGAAAUUCGUAGAUAUCGGGAGGAAUACCGGUGGCGAAGGCGGCAACCUGGACCGAUACUGACGCUGAGACGCGAAAGCGUGGGUAGCAAACAGGAUUAGAAACCCUAGUAGUCC